Lagopus muta (rock ptarmigan) is the source of this 813-nucleotide long non-coding RNA. RefSeq lists it as uncharacterized. The transcript has 3 exons. NCBI's taxonomy places the organism in Eukaryota, Metazoa, Chordata, Aves, Galliformes, Phasianidae. The record is from RefSeq and is a predicted model, not a curated record.
GUUGGCAUCUUCCAACCAUGGCCGCAGGCUGUCCAGUCUGCCAACUUUUGGUAAUCAAUUCCCUUCUGUGAACAUGUCCACUUGAGCUGGAAAAUAUACCAUCAAAGUAUGCUACAAGGACAGCUUAGUCAUCACCUAGGUAAUGGAGGUGGCAUUAUUUUACCACCAAGCAUCAGGCUGCAGCUCAUGCAGUCCGGGCUCCAUUCCCAAUACCGCCAUAAAUUCUAUUGGGGAAACGUAGUGCUUGCCUCCAUCUAAAAGGCCAAUGUCAUCCCCAGUUGGUAAGGAUUAUAUAAAUAGCUAAGUAGGAUGAAAUGAGAGGGUUUUAGGAAAUAUACAAAAUAGCUCAGGGUUUGAAGUUCAGCUGACUAUAGAGCUCUGCUCUCAAGCCAGAAGCAGCAAGACUUCUAUGGAAACCUUCCUGAGAGCUACUUUUGGAUUAGAAAUAUUCUUCAAGACUCUUUAGGAACAUAAAUCAGUGCUGCUGAACUGCACACUUCUAUGGUAUGGCACCAACUCUUUGAAAGGGCAGAUAACAGCAGGACAAGGGGAAAUGGUUUGAAGUUGAGGGAGGGAAGAUUGAGGUUGGAUGUCAGGGGGAAGUUCUUUACAGAGAGAGUGGUGAGGUGCUGGAACAGCUGCCCAGAGAGGCUGUGGAUGCCCCGUCCAUCCCUGGAGGUGUUCAAGGCCAGGUUGGAUGGGGCCCUGGGCAGCCUGGGCUGCUAUGAAAUGUGGAGGUUGGUGGCCCUGCCUGUGGCAGGGGGUUGGAGCUUCAUGAUCCUUGAGGUCCCUUCCAACCCUGGCCAUUCUGUG